Molecule: ribosomal RNA, 433 nt
Filed under: uncultured Paenibacillus sp.
Lineage: Bacteria; Bacillati; Bacillota; Bacilli; Caryophanales; Paenibacillaceae
Description: bacterial SSU rRNA
Rfam family: Bacterial small subunit ribosomal RNA
Source: RNAcentral
AACGCGAAGAACCUUACCUGGGCUUGACGUCCCUGGAAUCCUGUAGAGAUACGGGAGUGCCUUCGGGAAUCAGGUGACAGGUGGUGCAUGGUUGUCGUCAGCUCGUGUCGUGAGAUGUUGGGUUAAGUCCCGCAACGAGCGCAACCCCUAUUGUCAGUUGCCAUCAUUCAGUUGGGCACUCUGGCGAGACUGCCGGUGACAAAUCGGAGGAAGGUGGGGACGACGUCAAAUCAUCAUGCCCCUUAUGCCCAGGGCUACACACGUACUACAAUGGCCGAUAACAAAGUGCAGCGAAACCGUGAGGUGGAGCGAAUCACAAAACUCGGUCUCAGUUCAGAUUGCAGGCUGCAACUCGCCUGCAUGAAGUUGGAAUUGCUAGUAAUCGCGAAUCAGAAUGUCGCGGUGAAUACGUUCCCGGGUCUUGUACACACGC